Molecule: long non-coding RNA, 1344 nt
Filed under: Homo sapiens (human)
Lineage: Eukaryota; Metazoa; Chordata; Mammalia; Primates; Hominidae
Description: long intergenic non-protein coding RNA 2405
Source: RNAcentral
ACUCCGGCUUGAGUGUUAAAUGGCCAGCAGGAAUUAUCCACUAGAGAAGCGGAAGGGAGAGAAUGGAAAUGGCCGCAUGCAGCUCCUCUCCCUCAGACAGCUCGGGGCUCAGCGGAAUGAGCACAGUCUGCAGGACAAGUGCGGAGGACUUCAGUCCCCUCUACUGUAUAUUGGCUUUAGGACUCAAGUUGUCCCUGAAAUAGAGGAAGGUGUUUUCUAGGGUAGUGGUAAUUAUCACAGUCAAAAAAGUAGGCGAGAGCACUUAGGAAAACUGUGCGGAGAUCGGCUGCUGAUGUGUAAAUACUGCUGAAGCUGCUUAUUCAAGAUUAGAAAACCUGAGACCCAGACGGGGGAAACUGCUUUCCAUGGUUAAUCGUCAACAACUGGCCAGGAUGGGACAGAAGCCCAUACAUAGCCUUCAUUCCAGGGCUCAGAACAAAAAGAAGGCAGUGGCCUGGGCUGCACCUGAGCUUGGCUUCACAUAGGAGGGAUUCUGGAACGCAGGAUCCUGACAACGACCUCAAGCCCCUGUAAAGCAACACAUUUUUUGGCAAGAAUCCCUGGGACAGAGAAAGAAUUUCUUCUCACUUAUUAUUGAGAAUGUUCUCAUGUCUUGCAAGGCUCACUGCCCAGUAGAAGCUGAAAAGAUUCAGUAUGAGUAAAAGAAGAGAUCUGAAAUUUGCAGCUUGUCAUAGAAAGAACUGAGACUACCAUACACCUAAGAAGUCAAAGUUGCUAUUCAAGGGGAAGUGCAAACACAAGAUGAGGGAAACUGAUGUAUUUAGUGUCUACAUUUUACAAAUGGAUGCUUUUCAUAAUAUGAAAAUACUGCACCAUAAGAUUGCCAGUCACAACAGCACGGCUACAGUGAAAAUGAUCCCAGUGGAUUUGUUACGGUGAGAAAGCUUCACUUGGAGACAAAGCCAAAACCUUCCUCCCAGGCUCCCUUGGAUGUAGGGGGAAGCAAACUGGCUGUCCAGGCCUCUGAGCCACAUCUACACACCUCAUGAGAGGGCCUGUGCAACAUUGCCUUAGAGAUGGAGAGCAUUGCUUCAGAAUCAGGGAAGCCUAAAUUUCACCCCUGGGGCUGCCCCUUGUGAUCUUGAAUGGCUCCUGACAAGAGGCUGCUGGGGAGGCUCCUGCUCCCUGCCUUUCGGGACUGCCGUGGAUUGCCCAUUGAUGGGUCAAAAUCCAGCUACCUGGUAAUUCAAUGAGUCCCUAGUGUGCAUCCAAUAAAUUAUCUUCUGUUUAAAUUAGAACAAACUGUUUUUAAUCUGUGUGCUAAGAAUCUCAUUAAAUGCAUCAUAAAUUUCAAAAUCAAAAACUAAAUAAAACAUUUAUCUA